CUCAUUGAGAUGAGAUCUCAAGUCCAUUUGUGAAUUUGAGUAGUUAUUAUAGAAUAGACAGAAGAAACCUUAAAGAUGAUCUUCUCCAACUCUUACCUGAAGCAUAAACUACUGGAUUAUCUCUGACAAGUCAUUAUUCAACUUCUACUUGAAUACCUCCAGUGACAUAGAACUCAUUACCUCAUGAAGCAAGUACAUACCAUUUCUGAAGAGCUCUCAUUAAGUCACACAUACCAAAGAUCUGGAUGUGCUGAACACCAAAGGCCUUGGAACUUCCAAAUGGUUCAACAUCAGAAAUAGAUAUGGUUUAUUGGAUCAUAAUCUCCUUGAGGCUCCCUCCUUCCAUGCUAAGGAAUUUACUAACACAAAGCAAAGGCCAACGAGCCCAAAGGAAUAGCAGGCAAAGUCACGCCAGUGGGGACUCACUGGGAUAAGCCAGCUCUGGACACAAGAGGUUGGACUUUUCAUUUUGUUCUCCAUUCCUAUUUCAUCUUCCACAGACACCCAUCAUGCUCAAUAGAACCCAAGGAUGGGGAAGAAAAAGGUCACUCUGGCUAACAGUGUCUGCAAGUGGCCACAUCUAUCUCCCUGUCCGCUCUUCUGCCUCCACCAAGCCUACCACCAAACAUUUUCCAUCUGAAACUCCUUCUCCUUCCCAGGUCAGCCUUCUAUUCCAUAGGAUUACCAGAAGGCUAUAAGAUCAUCCUGGAAGCUGGAGAGAUUUGGACUUGCUUUAGACUAAUCUAUCUAGUUUUAUGAAUUGAAAAAUUGAGGCCUUAAAGAGGCAAAAAUGACUUGUCUAGGGAUAGAGAGAAAAGGAAUAAGUAAAAUUAAAAUCCAAAGCCAGAUCUUCUGACCAUAAAAACCUUGUUCUUCCUACUACAUCCUGACUAAUAUUAAAGUUAUCUUUUAAAAAAUUA
Molecule: long non-coding RNA, 920 nt
Organism: Monodelphis domestica (gray short-tailed opossum)
Lineage: Eukaryota; Metazoa; Chordata; Mammalia; Didelphimorphia; Didelphidae
Source: RefSeq, a predicted model, not a curated record